UCUCCGUUGGUGAACCAGCGGAGGGAUCAUUACAGAGUUGCAAAACUCCCAAACCAUUGUGAACGUUACCUAUCCCGUUGCUUCGGCGGGCGGCCCGGGCCCCGCGCCCGGCGCCCCCCGGCCCCCCGUGGGCGCCCGCCGGAGGUAAACCAAGCCCUUGAAUUGCAUGGCCUCUCUGAGUCUUCUGUACUGAAUAAGUCAAAACUUUCAACAGCGGAUCUCUUGGUUCUG
This 231-nucleotide unclassified non-coding RNA is filed under the name plant metagenome. RNAcentral's name for it is "partial contains small subunit ribosomal RNA, internal transcribed spacer 1, and 5.8S ribosomal RNA". The record is from RNAcentral.